AGUGAACGCUGGCGGUAGGCCUAACACAUGCGAGUCGAGCGGCAGCACAGUAAGAGCUUGCUCUUACGGGUGGCGAGUGGCGGACGGGUGAGGAAUACAUCGGAAUCUACUUUUUCGUGGGGGAUAACGUGGGGAAACUUACGCUAAUACCGCAUACGACCUACGGGUGAAAGCAGGGGAUCUUCGGACCUUGCGCGAUUGAAUGAGCCGAUGUCGGAUUAGCUAGUUGGCGGGGUAAAGGCCCACCAAGGCGACGAUCCGUAGCUGGUCUGAGAGGAUGAUCAGCCACACUGGAACUGAGACACGGUCCAGACUCCUACGGGAGGCAGCAGUGGGGAAUAUUGGACAAUGGGCGCAAGCCUGAUCCAGCCAUACCGCGUGGGUGAAGAAGGCCUUCGGGUUGUAAAGCCCUUUUGUUGGGAAAGAAAAGCAGCAGGUUAAUACCCCGCUGUUCUGACGGUACCCAAAGAAUAAGCACCGGCUAACUUCGUG
This 492-nucleotide ribosomal RNA is filed under the name uncultured bacterium. RNAcentral's name for it is "partial 16S ribosomal RNA". It matches the Rfam family "Bacterial small subunit ribosomal RNA", at positions 29 to 507 of the family's 1533-position model. The record is from RNAcentral.